Triticum aestivum (bread wheat) is the source of this 875-nucleotide long non-coding RNA. RefSeq lists it as uncharacterized. The transcript is spliced from 4 exons. The record is from RefSeq and is a predicted model, not a curated record. NCBI's taxonomy places the organism in Eukaryota, Viridiplantae, Streptophyta, Magnoliopsida, Poales, Poaceae.
CCACCGCCCAACUCGAGAUUAGCCUCAUUCCCACUCACCUCUCGAUUGGAGCCUAGAGCAGUUCUCCACCCAGAUCCCGUCUCUCACCCGUUGUGGCAGCGACCGACAGCACUCGGCAAGUAACGGUGCUAGCAAAGUACGGCGACUGGUGGUGGCAGAAAACGGCGAGUGGCUACGCAUGCUGUUGUGGGAGCGGCGGCAGCAUGGGCUGAUGGGCGAGCGGGGGUGUAAAGGAGGCGAGAGAUCCACAUCUCUAGCUGAACAGCCGCUCGAGGAAAGGUCUUCUCCCUACCCAGCCAGAAGUUUGAUCCUUCCGAUCGAAGAGGUACCGUAUCAGUUUCCAUUUGCAAGACGUAUGGUUGGAAAAGGAUUGAAGUACUGGUGUAACACUAAUAAUUCUUACUAAGAUGUGAUUUCUAUGUCAAUGUGUAGAUGAUUCCUGAACAAGUAAGUUUGUUCCUUUUAGCUCAAUUAAAUGUCAGCUGCAUUAUAUCAUUUUUCAUCUCUCUUAUAACAAGUCUUAUAGUUUCUUAGGUAUUGGUAAGUCAUAUUGGAGAUAAAAUGAGUUGUGAUAAUGCUAUGAUACUAAUGAUGACAAUGCUACCUAUGGCAACGUGGGAGAUUAUAUAUAUGGCGAUGGGCAUUACGAUCAAGACGACGAUAAUGGUGAUGAGUCUGAUGAUCUUCGAGUCAUGCAACCAAGUGAAGUUAUGAAGUUCAUGGACAAUUUAGCUUAUGCACAUUGUUUGGACCAUUAUAUCUUAGUCACUAUUUUGUUUUUCAUUUGACACUUCUUAGAUGCGUCAGUAUGGCCAAUGUAAUAUUGAUUCAACUCAUUAGACAUGUUAUACUUCUUGUUGUUAUGCUAAAUAAAA